GGAUGUGAGGGUGAUCUGGCUGCAACAUCUCUCACCCCAUUGAUCACCAGGGUUGAUUCUGCUGAUCUGGGUGGUUAGGUAGGUGUCCCCUUCCACCCUCACCACUCGAUGUGCAUCCCUCCCAAAGCUAUGUGCUUGGACAAAGAGGACAAUCAUCCCAACAGAGGAGGACUAAUCUUCAGUCAAGGGUAUACGAGUAGCUGCACUCCCCUGUUAGAACUUCCAAACAAGCUGUCAAGACACACUGUAUUAAAGGAUGCAAGAGCAAAGAUUCUUCUCAGGUCCCGUGACAUACUGCUACCUUACCAA
Cebus imitator (Panamanian white-faced capuchin) is the source of this 309-nucleotide unclassified non-coding RNA. Its record names the gene 7SK. It matches the Rfam family "7SK RNA". From Rfam's summary of the family: 7SK was discovered as an abundant small nuclear RNA in the mid-70s but a possible function has only recently been suggested. Two independent studies have found that 7SK RNA binds the CDK9/cyclin T complex (known as elongation factor P-TEFb). The record is from Ensembl. NCBI's taxonomy places the organism in Eukaryota, Metazoa, Chordata, Mammalia, Primates, Cebidae.